UUGUAAUUUAAUGUUAUGUUUCCACAUUUGUCUGCUAAAAAUGUGAGUUAUUUGGGAAUCUACAACUUAUACCUGACCUGUGUUGAUUAGUGUAAUUUUCUUCCAUUGUAAUUAAUUUCUUAGUAAUAAAACUGACUGAACCUAUCUCUAAAUGUUACUACUCACCCCAUGUUUUUAACCUCUCUGUUGGUUUCUGUGUGCAUUUGUGUGUGUGUGUGUGUGUGUGUGUUUGACCUCAGCUCAUAGACCUCCCCUAAGGCUACAGUGCUUGGGCCCCUGUGUUAACACCUCUCAGUGCUGGACACACCUGUCAUUGAUUAGCCUCUGUCUGUGAUCCCAUCCCUCAACUGCAUUGGCGGUGCAUGUGAAACAAAGAACAGCUGCUCCUCUCUUGCACCAUGCUUUGAAUGAAUGCACCAGUCCUCGACCCGCAAAGUAGAUCCCCAGGACAAAACCUCAGGAAGACGCCGGUCCCACAGGAACCGGGCCGACCACCGCUAUCGGCACUUGACGAGCUUGUCAGCCGCAUGCAGCGGGCCAGCUUCUUUUCUUAUCAUCAGGAAGUUGUCAGAUGAAAAACUUCCCCUGAAUGAAUAUACACAAUAUCUUGGCACACCGGUCAGGAUCCAGCACAGAGGACCCUAUCUUUAAAAUCGCA
Labeo rohita (rohu) is the source of this 658-nucleotide long non-coding RNA. RefSeq lists it as uncharacterized. The record is from RefSeq and is a predicted model, not a curated record. The transcript has 3 exons. NCBI's taxonomy places the organism in Eukaryota, Metazoa, Chordata, Actinopteri, Cypriniformes, Cyprinidae.